GUACUAAAAUAAAUGUCGAAACAAUACUGUCUAAUCUAAAAAAUCAAUGAAUUAUUUAUCUUUUUCUACCUAUUUUACCCUUACUAUUUAUCACUUAAUAUAUUUUUCAAGACAUGAAAUUUGUUAUAGUGUGCGGCGACAUCAAGUAGUGUUGAAUGAUGCAUUUGCCAUUGUUUUUUUUUUUCUCUAUUUGACCCUUUAUCUUCCUCAUCGUGAGGGGGACUUGAUUGAGAUCUUUUUAGCUGAAGAUAGAAACUUUUGAUGAUGUAGGCAUAUUAAUUCUACUUUUUUGGAGGGCAUUUAAUAAUUGAGUAUCGUUCUGUGAUAGUUUUUGAUGAAAUUCUGGCACAAUAGAUCCUUGUGGUAUGGUCCUUCUCGGGACCUGCACAUAGCGGUAGAUUUAGUGCACUGGGCUGCCCUUUUAUCUUUUGCAUAAAUGGCAACGAGCGAGGCAGGGUAGAGAGGAAGGGGUUUAGGAGGAUGGCUCAGGAGAGCACUCAAUAGGGCAAAAUUGUGGGAAAAAACUAAAUAGUGCCGGGGGCGGGCUCAAACUAUAGCAAGUUAAGGUGUGCCCUUCCCUGUCCUCCUCACCACCGUGCCUCAUUCGCAUCCUUAUUUUUGCUAAGUACUUGUGCUUUUUGUCCAUGGUAGUAUUUUAUUGUGUUUUUAUAGGCAGUGUUUUUUUUUUUUUUUGGGUCAUUUAGUUUGAUGCUUGACAAUCGUAUGAUAUGAUAGUGUUUCCAAGAACUCUUCGAUGAUAUAUUAUAUUAUAUAUAUCCCAUUGGAGUUGAACUCUUCGAUGAUAUAUAUGGCUUUGAUGAAUUAGCAUUUCUGUAUGAUCUAUUUCCAUCAAGCGCCUAGGCAUAUUUCCGAUGUAUUGCUGCUUAUUUUGAAUAUUUCUGUUAAUGAGUUUCCUUUACUCAACCAUUUUAAGCUUAGAUAACUUCCAAAAUAAAGUUGUAUUUGUAGUUAAGAAGAAUAGCCUAUAUCCAUUAUACCUGUAAUCGUUGCCUGUUCACCUCACAUUUCUUUAGACUGUAUCUGUUUAUCCGUAAAUGAUAGUUUCUGAUGCUCAUCAUUUAUGUUUUCUGCUUGUCCUCUACGCAGGUAUCCUGGGAUGCCAGGGGAGGACUUUUUAAAAGCUUGCCCUGUAUGUCGUAACGUUUGCAACUGCAUAGCAUGUUUGCGGUUAGAUGGAUUAGCGAAACAUUUUUUGAAUGUCGAGGUGAAGUUCAGCAAUGAAGAAAAUCUCGAGUACUCUAAGCACAUUGUACGAGCACUUUUGCCUGCUCUGGAACAAUUUAAUACCGAGCAAAUGAUUGAAAAGCAGAUUGAGUAACAGAUUCAAGAUUCAGACGUUAAUAUAAAGAAAGCAGAAUACGAGAAGGAGGAGUGCAUUUAUUGCAACUAUUGCAGUGCUUUUAUUGUUGAUUUUCACCGGAGUUGUUCAAGAUGGUCGUAUGAACUUUGCCUUACUUGUUGCAAAGAAUUAAGGAAUGGCAAACUGCAAGCAGAUGCAUCCGAAGUGCGGAUGCAAUAUAUUAACAAUGGACCAGAUUAUUUGCAUGGUAAAGGUUGUAGCAUAAUUUCAGUCAAUAAUGAAACCACUGAAGCCAAGGUGGCAAUGACAUCUAAAUGGAAGUCCAUGGAAAGUGGUGCCAUUCGUUGCCCUCCUAAAGAUAUGGGAGGCUGUAGUAAAGGAACGUUACAUUUGAGAUGUAUAUUUUCUGAGAAUUGGAUAUCACAGCUGUUACUGAAAGCAAAAGAAAUAGCACAAAAAUGUAAGCUGAAGGAAAUGCAUCAUGAUUCAGAACUGCACUACUCCUGUUCAAAGUCUAAGGAUGAUAACGGUGUUUCUGGUGGCAAGCUACGUAAGGCAGCUGCUCGGGAAAAUUCUGAUGAUAACUAUGUAUUCUGUCCAGCAGCUGUGGAUACUCGGCGCGCAAAUUUGAGGCAUUUUCGGCUCUACUUAUCUAAGGGUGAACCAGUUGUUGUAACUAACGUUCAUGACAACGCACUGGGAUUGAGCUGGGAGCCUAUGGUAAUGUGGCGUGCCUGUCGACAAACCGAGGUUUAGCAAGCUUUGGGUACAAGUUUUGUUUUGAAAGAGCGGCGUCGGCUGAGAUAGUCGAACCACAUAUGUGCGAGCUAAUUAUUGUAGGUACCCUGGAAUGACACAGGAGGUCUUUAGAGAAGCUUGCGCUGUAUGUCGUAACCUUUGCAACUGCGUAUAUUGUCUACGGCUAAAUGGGCCAGCGAAAAAGUGAAGUUCAGUGAUGACGAAAGACUCGAGUACUCUAAACACAUUGUACGAGCACUUUUGCCUGCUUUGGAACAAUUUAAUGCGGAGCAAAUGAUUGAAUAUCAGAUACAAGAUUCAGAGGUUAAGAUACACAAAGCAGAAUAUGACGACUGGAUAUUACAGUUGCUAGUGAAAGCUCAAGACCUAGCAACCAAAUAUAAAUUGAAGGAAAUGCAUAAGGCAGAAGCUGGGGAUGCUUGGAGUGCAGAUCUGCGGCGUUUUCAGCUCUCUUUAGCGAAGGGUGAACCAGUUGUUGUGACAGAUUUUCUGGAUAAUCCACUGAGAUUGAGCUGGGAACGAAUGGUCAUGUGGCGUGCUUGUCGAGAUACGAAGAGCACGAGGUUUUAAAAUGCUUAAAUUGGUGUAAAGUUUGUACAGUCAUCUUUUCUAAAUGAUAUGUAAUUAGGAAAUUGACUAUUUUAAUUGAGGCUUAGGUUCUGGCACAUUA
Molecule: long non-coding RNA, 2750 nt
Organism: Capsicum annuum
Lineage: Eukaryota; Viridiplantae; Streptophyta; Magnoliopsida; Solanales; Solanaceae
Exons: 7
Source: RefSeq, a predicted model, not a curated record